UAGAAGGAAACUCACGCGCAGGAGGGAACAACCCUAGACAGAAUCCCCAAUCUUCUCCCUGCUGUGCUUGGCCUCACCCACGCCGCCGGCGCUCGCUUGACCGAUGCCGCCGUCCGCCGUCUCAACCAGCAUGAGAUGCUUAGCUGUUUCCCCAUCUCUCCUCUCCUUGCCUCUCCUUCUUUCCUCUCAAAUCGCUCAGCGCACUGGUUGUUUGCCGCUCGUCACCUGUAGGUUGCCGUGCCACCGUCGCGCGCUCGCCUCCCUGAUGCCGCGGUCCAUCCUCUCCACCAACGCUCGAUUCGCCAUCUCUCCUCACCUUGCCUCACCUCAUUUCCUCCAUCACUAUGUGGUGCGGCCGCAACCUGUAGGUCGAUGCCGCUGCCGCAAAUCCUCCCAUACCAUUGUUGUUCGACUGUUCCUCGGUCGGGUUAGACGAGUACGAUUCUUUCCUAUGGUUUAAGUCAAUGUGAUGUAUUCAUCUGUUCGUAUCUUUCUACCAAUAGCAGGCAGGUUCUAGACAAUACAAGAAGGGCAGAUUUGUUCAUCUCAUGUCUUCCUGUUAUUUCUCUUUAAUUUUAUUCCUUUUUCUAUAUGUUUGAUGCUUGUUAACCUAGGUAGCGGGUACUGGAAAAUCCAUCCCCUUCCAUAUGGAUUUUUGUUGUCCUGUUUUGAUCCAGGUUGGUUGAAGCCUCCGCGAUGGUUAGGAUUCCUGGUUGCAUGGCUUGGAGGAAACUUUUCUCCUGCGUAGCAAGGUCCAACAUGAAAGGAGCCCUGGCAGUUCUCCAAAAUUGAAAUGGUGUUCAAUGAAGCGACAAUCAUAAUGUCAUUCCACAAAUCAUACUAACAGAUCACGACAUUGUGAAGGGUAACUGAAGGAGUCUGACCAUUGAAGUGCAUGUGGGCGUUACACUUGAGAAUGUCUACAAGUUGUACAAUCUCAUUUUUUGGAAGCCUUCGGCGUGCUGUAGUGUUAUCCAAUUGGUGGUUGCCUGUUGGCAUUAGGCUGGCUGAAGCAAGAUGUGAAAUUGCUGCGAUCUUCCAUGUUAGGUGUUGUAUUGAAUCUGGAAUCUAAAAUAUGUUAUGUCAUCUAUUGUUCGUGUAAAUUUGAAUGCUGAAUUUGAGUUGUUGAUGGAUAUGUGACGAAUGUUCAAUUAUGUAUUGAAUGUGUAUUUACCUAUGCUGGGUACUACUUC
Molecule: long non-coding RNA, 1193 nt
Organism: Brachypodium distachyon (stiff brome)
Lineage: Eukaryota; Viridiplantae; Streptophyta; Magnoliopsida; Poales; Poaceae
Exons: 3
Source: RefSeq, a predicted model, not a curated record